UUAAUUAUCACAACAGUGUUAACCGGUUAACAGGGUUAACCGGUUAACGCAAGACAGAAAGCUGUUCCUGCGCUAACACGAAACAGAAUGCAGAUUUCCCCGCAUUUUCCGCCAUUGGAGGACUUCCGGACCUCCGAUUUCGAUUCCGUAAAAAGCUACACUUCCAGGAAAUUACAACUCAUCCAAAUACAGAUCCAUUCACGGUUUUAACGUAACUUAUUCAUCACAAUUUACAACAUUCAUCAUCCUGAUUAGGGUCAAUUCAAU
This 267-nucleotide long non-coding RNA is filed under the name Lathyrus oleraceus (garden pea). Its description in RNAcentral is "Pisum sativum (pea) long non-coding RNA (PSAT_LNC042091)". Lineage: Eukaryota; Viridiplantae; Streptophyta; Magnoliopsida; Fabales; Fabaceae. The record is from RNAcentral.